Scylla paramamosain (green mud crab) is the source of this 1136-nucleotide long non-coding RNA. RefSeq lists it as uncharacterized. The record is from RefSeq and is a predicted model, not a curated record. The transcript is spliced from 6 exons. Lineage: Eukaryota; Metazoa; Arthropoda; Malacostraca; Decapoda; Portunidae.
ACGUGACGUCAUCAGCCGCCUUCAUCCGGGGACCGAGACCCUGGACCUUCCCACCUGCCAGUGCCCUUCCAUCAGUAUUUAGUGUUAUUUCCUAUAUUUUCCAGCUGUUUUCAUGCAUAGAGAAGAAUAGAAAGAGGAGUGAAUUCUUCGUUUCUGUGGCGUUUUAAAAAGAGCAACGGCAACCCUCCGAUCCGGCAAGCAGGUUGGCGGCAGCGAUGGCGGUGGCGGCAGCAGCGGUGGUGAGGUGGACGGCAGGGACGGAGGGGCGGUACAGGCUGCGGACAUCAAGGAGAAAAAGAACGUGCGGAGAAGCAAGGUGGCAUUCAGCAGUGUGAUCCUGGACCUGGUCGGCUUGACGGUGGUGGUGCCUCUGUCUCCUGCUCUCUUUGACUGUUACUCCAAGCACGACUCCAGCGGCUUGUAUUCCUCUGUGCUCUCCUGUGUGACUUGUUACCAGCAUAUCAUCGGCGUCCCUGCGAGGUUCCACUCUGUCUUGUUUGGUGGUAUGUGGGGCCUAAUGAUGAUGAUUCCUGCUUUCAUCCUCAUCGGGGCUAACGAGACCAACCUGGGGCUGUACUCUGGACUGACGCUGUAUGCCAUAGUGCCUUGAGGUGCCAAUUAUUUAUGAAGUUUAUGAAAGCAGAAACGGCUCUCCAGAAUAUGAUUUUUACCCUAGAUCUUCCCUUCAGCACGCCCUGUCUGCUGGCUCCUGCUGGCAGCACGCCCUGUCUGCUGGCUCCUGCUGGCAGCACGCCCUGUCUGCUGGCUCCUGCUGGCAGCACGCCCUGUCUGCUGGCUCCUGCUGGCAGCACGCCCUGUCUGCUGGCUCCUGCUGGCAGCACGCCCUGUCUGCUGGCUCCUGCUGGCAGCACGCCCUGUCUGCUGGCUCCUGCUGGCAGCACGCCCUGUCUGCUGGCUCCUGCUGGCAGCACGCCCUGUCUGCUGGCUCCUGCUGGCAGCACGCCCUGUCUGCUGGCGCCUCUCUCAAUCAGAAAAGUUUCCUUCAAUUAUUACCUUCAUCUCCAGUCCACUCUGCUUUUUCCUCCAUCUCUCUCUCUCUCUCUCUCUCUCUCUCUCUCUCUCUCUCUCUCUCUCUCUCUCUCUCUCUCUCUCUCUCUCUCUCUCUGUCAAUGAAA